Molecule: ribosomal RNA, 468 nt
Filed under: uncultured bacterium
Lineage: Bacteria
Description: partial 16S ribosomal RNA
Rfam family: Bacterial small subunit ribosomal RNA
Source: RNAcentral
GACGAACGCUGGCGGCGUGCUUAACACAUGCAAGUCGAACGGAAAGGCCCUGCCUUUGUGGGGUGCUCGAGUGGCGAACGGGUGAGUAACACGUGAGUAACCUGCCCUUGACUUUGGGAUAACUUCUGGAAACUGGGGCUAAUACCGGAUAGGAGCUCCUGCUGCAUGGUGGGGGUUGGAAAGUUUCGGCGGUUGGGGAUGGACUCGCGGCUUAUCAGCUUGUUGGUGGGGUAGUGGCUUACCAAGGCUUUGACGGGUAGCCGGCCUGAGAGGGUGACCGGCCACAUUGGGACUGAGAUACGGCCCAGACUCCUACGGGAGGCAGCAGUGGGGAAUAUUGCACAAUGGGCGGAAGCCUGAUGCAGCAACGCCGCGUGCGGGAUGACGGCCUUCGGGUUGUAAACCGCUUUCGCCUGUGACGAAGCGAGAGUGACGGUAAUGGGUAAAGAAGCACCGGCUAACUACGUG